This is a long non-coding RNA of Stegodyphus dumicola, 347 nucleotides long. The record is from RefSeq and is a predicted model, not a curated record. NCBI's taxonomy places the organism in Eukaryota, Metazoa, Arthropoda, Arachnida, Araneae, Eresidae.
AACGGAUGGAAUUUAAAUUUUAGGUUUGGCGUGUUAGCUGGAAUAUAACUGGCACAAUUCUUGCAUCAUCUGGUGAUGAUGGUUGCGUUCGAUUGUGGAAAGCUUCAUUUGGAGAAAAAUGGAAAUGUCUUGCAACUUUAAAAGGUGAUGGCACCACUGAAGUAGCUGAAAAGCAAAUUAAUAAUGAAUCUGAAACUUUAUCAAAAAUGGAUACUUCAGGUAUUUCUGUUCCUACUGCUAGGUACUACAAACUUGGCCAAGUUAGUCAUCUAAAACAAGAGCCAUGGCAUUAAUUUAUAUUUGUAUGUAUUCCUAAACAAGAAUUGUAAUAAAUUUGUAAAGUUUUA